This 522-nucleotide long non-coding RNA is filed under the name Daucus carota (carrot). RNAcentral describes it as "long non-coding RNA (DCAR_LNC005597)". The record is from RNAcentral. Lineage: Eukaryota; Viridiplantae; Streptophyta; Magnoliopsida; Apiales; Apiaceae.
GGUACAACAAUUAGAAAAGUUAUUUUUAAGACUGAAAAUAGUACAUUAGAACAUUACAUAUUAUUCUUCAUGAAGUGUAAUAGAAAGGGUGAUAAAAAACAUUAUAAAUAAUAAAUAAUCCAGCAACAAGUGCACAAAUCGACAGAAAGAAAAUUCCAGUUGAUCAUACGGAAACAUAAAGUUGCAUAAGCCAUGUCUGCUCAAAUAAUGAGGUGAUCAGGCUGCAGCGGCCGCGGCACCCAAGCAAAGAGCAAAACAGCACUGGAAAGGACACAAGAGGCAGCUGAGCACAGCGGUGAUGAUUUCACAGGGCAAACACACAACACAUAGCGCACAUCCACCACAACAUGCCAAACAAGCCUGGCUAUCUGUUAGCUCGCCAUCCGGCGUUUCCAGCAGCUGCUGCUGCGCGGCAUUUGACUCCUCCGUCGACAUUGUGUUAAUUGGAAGCGCAAAAUUGAACUUAUAUUAAUUUCCUGUUGUUUGCCUUUUCUAGUUUUGCCUACUCUGUAAGCUCUCAUU